CAGCACCUCAAGUGGUCAGGAUGAUUAUUGGGCCUAAAGCAUCCGUAGCCGGCGCUGUAAGUUUUCGGUUAAAUCUGUACGCUCAACGUACAGGCUGCCGGGAAUACUGCAGCGCUAGGGAGUGGGAGAGGUAGACGGUACUCGGUAGGAAGGGGUAAAAUCCUUUGAUCUAUUGAUGACCACCUGUGGCGAAGGCGGUCUACCAGAACACGUCCGACGGUGAGGGAUGAAAGCUGGGGGAGCAAACCGGAUAGAUACCCGAGUAGUCC
RNAcentral lists this ribosomal RNA (269 nucleotides) under uncultured archaeon. RNAcentral's name for it is "partial 16S ribosomal RNA". It matches the Rfam family "Archaeal small subunit ribosomal RNA", at positions 477 to 747 of the family's 1478-position model. The record is from RNAcentral.